CUUUAUUACUUACAUAGAAUAGGUAUAAAUCUUCUUUCCUAUUAGAUCCAAGGAGUAAGUAGACAGAAAUGAGUGGGGGUAACAGAAAGUGGGUAUUGUGCUUCUUCCUAGCUGUGUAACUCUAGGAAAGUGACACACUGCCUCUGAGAUCCAGUUUCCUCAUCUCUAAAACACAUUGUACAGGGUUAAAAUGAGAAUUAAAGGUGAUGUUUCCUUGCUUGCUUACCCCCUACAGGCUGUCACCUGCUUCCUCCCCUGCAGUGACCUCCUUUCAGGUAGUGGUGAUCUGAAGGCUCACUCUGCCUUGGACUCAGGUAUCUGUGGCACUCCCAAGGUCAAGGCCAAGAAGACCUCCUGGGCGGCCAACAGUCUGGCCAAGGCAUUCUCUGAAUUCGAGUAGAGUGUCAAGAGUCAAGAGAAGAUGGAUAUCAGGACUUUCAUCAAACCUAUAGGCCAGCUCCAGGGUGCGCUGGAAGGCUCUCUACAAGUGAGGAUUCACAACUGCUCGCCUCCCAGCCUCUGAAGGGUUCAAGAGGCUCAGCCAUUAUCAUCAUCCUUCUGGAUUUCACUCCCUGGUUUUCCCCCCAGAAAGGAGUGGAAAGUGCAAGCCACCUCCUGCAAAUGCUGGAGAAGCUGUAAAGUGGAUGG
This 648-nucleotide long non-coding RNA is filed under the name Heterocephalus glaber (naked mole-rat). Its description in RNAcentral is "lncRNA (ENSHGLG00000043424.1)". Lineage: Eukaryota; Metazoa; Chordata; Mammalia; Rodentia; Bathyergidae. The record is from RNAcentral.